This is a long non-coding RNA of Vombatus ursinus (common wombat), 1052 nucleotides long. RefSeq lists it as uncharacterized. The transcript is spliced from 2 exons. NCBI's taxonomy places the organism in Eukaryota, Metazoa, Chordata, Mammalia, Diprotodontia, Vombatidae. The record is from RefSeq and is a predicted model, not a curated record.
GACAAUGGAGACUUAAACCAUGACUGGAGCUGAGAGGGAGACCAAACAUGAGUGAGGUACAGAUGGACUAGGGCAAAGGUCAAGGAACUAAGAGCAGAUUAAGUAGAAACAUCAGAUGAGUGGUCAGAGCAAUGCUGAAAUCUAUUCCACCACAACUCUUCUCCUACCCUGCUUUUCUCUGACUGAUAAGAAGGGAAGAUCUUCUCCUGGCCAUAAAGAUGGGCUGGCUUCUGCAGAUUUAAGCAAAUCUUUGGUGCUACACUCUGUCACAAGAUUUGAAGGCCUGGAAUCCAACUUGAACCAGAAGAAUGGUGGUAACCAGAAACCCACUGUAUUUGCCAAUAGAGGACUUAACUAGCGGUGAGACUUAUUACUUCAUACACAAAUUGGAGCUCUCUGAUGAGAAGCAGAAUGAAUUUCAGGGACUACAUGCAUGGAGCUGAAUUUCAAGUACAGACUGACAAUAAUCCACUGAUUUACAUUUUCAGCAUUAAGAUGCUGCCAGUUAAAAGAUUCGAAGCAACCCUAGCCAACUAUGAGUUUGGCUCAUAAUAUAGUUCAGGAAAGACAAAUGUCAAUGUUGAUGAUCUGCCCACUAAGCCACGUGGAACUAACCAGUAUACACCAUAGCUAAAACACUUGAAGAGAGGUCAGCUGAAGUCUUUUAUUUUGUAACUCAGAAGAUACAGGCAUACCUCAUUUUAUUGUGCUUCACUUUAUUGCAUUUUGAAGACAUUAUGUUUUUUUUAAAAAUUGAAGGUUUGUGGUAACCCUAUGUCAAGCAAGUCUAUCAGUGCCAUUUUUUUUUCAAUGGCAUGUUCACACAUGGCAUCUUUGUGUCACAUGUUGGCAAUUCUCACAACAUUUCAAACUUUUCAUUAUUAUUGUAUCUGCAAUGGCGAUCUGUGAUCAUUUAUCUUUGAUGUUACUGUAAUAAUUAUUUUGAAAUACCACAAACCACACCCAUAUAAGAUGGAGAACUUAAACAAUAAAUGUUGUGUUUAAACAAUAAACAAUUAAACAAUAAAUGUGUGUUUUGACUCUUCUACCAA